UCUGAUAAAAGCUGCGCUGUCCAGUGACACCAUCUCUACUUUCAAUGACCCUCUGAUCAGCAAGUUCAUCAACAUGAUGAUGCAAGAUGGCAACAAAAUCCUUGCUAGAGGAAUCAUGACACAGACGCUGGAGACUAUGAAGAGAAAACAGGUGGAGAAAUACCACAGAUCUCCUGCAGCCAAGAGACUAGAGAUC
Molecule: long non-coding RNA, 196 nt
Organism: Sinocyclocheilus grahami
Lineage: Eukaryota; Metazoa; Chordata; Actinopteri; Cypriniformes; Cyprinidae
Exons: 3
Source: RefSeq, a predicted model, not a curated record